UGGGGAAUAUUGGACAAUGGGCGAAAGCCUGAUCCAGCCAUGCCGCGUGUGUGAAGAAGGUCUUCGGAUUGUAAAGCACUUUAAGUUGGGAGGAAGGGCAGUAAGCGAAUACCUUGCUGUUUUGACGUUACCGACAGAACAAGCACCGGCUAACUCUGUGCCAGCAGCCGCGGUAAUACAGAGGGUGCAAGCGUUAAUCGGAAUUACUGGGCGUAAAGCGCGCGUAGGUGGUUCGUUAAGUUGAAUGUGAAAGCCCCGGGCUCAACCUGGGAACUGCAUCCAAAACUGGCGAGCUAGAGUAGGGCAGAGGGUGGUGGAAUUUCCUGUGUAGCGGUGAAAUGCGUAGAGAUCUGGAGGAAUACCGAUGGCGAAGGCAGCCAUCUGGCCUAACACUGACGCUGAGGUACGAAAGCAUGGGGAGCAAACAGG
This 429-nucleotide ribosomal RNA is filed under the name Pseudomonadota bacterium. RNAcentral's name for it is "Proteobacteria bacterium partial 16S ribosomal RNA". It matches the Rfam family "Bacterial small subunit ribosomal RNA", at positions 355 to 776 of the family's 1533-position model. The record is from RNAcentral. Lineage: Bacteria; Pseudomonadati; Pseudomonadota.